Molecule: non-coding RNA, 59 nt
Filed under: Platyophrya macrostoma
Lineage: Eukaryota; Ciliophora; Colpodea; Cyrtolophosidida; Platyophryidae
Source: RNAcentral
AAAAAAAAAAAAAAAAUAAAAAAUGGAGGACCAAGGGAGCACAUUUUUUUAUUCUACUU